UACAGAGGUGGCGAGCGUUAUUCGGAAUUAUUGGGCGUAAAGGGCGCGUAGGCGGCUUGACAAGUCCCGGGUGAAAUCCCUCGGCUCAACCGAGGAACUGCCUUGGAAACUGUCUGGCUUGAGGCCGGGAGAGGGUAGUGGAAUUCCCAGUGUAGCGGUGAAAUGCGUAGAUACUGGGAGGAACACCGGUGGCGAAGGCGGCUACCUGGACCGGUUCUGACGCUGAGGCGCGAAAGCGUGGGGAGCGAACAGG
Molecule: ribosomal RNA, 253 nt
Filed under: uncultured bacterium
Lineage: Bacteria
Description: partial 16S ribosomal RNA
Rfam family: Bacterial small subunit ribosomal RNA
Source: RNAcentral